This is a long non-coding RNA of Triticum urartu, 970 nucleotides long. RefSeq lists it as uncharacterized. NCBI's taxonomy places the organism in Eukaryota, Viridiplantae, Streptophyta, Magnoliopsida, Poales, Poaceae. The record is from RefSeq and is a predicted model, not a curated record.
CAUAUAUGUGGGAAAAUAAUCACAUACUUAUGCAAACGUAUGAAGACAGGAGGUCUUCAAAUCAAAAUUUUACCCAUUGUAAAAUGGUGUAUAAUUAUGUUGUAUGUAAUUUGGGAUGAACUGAGGAUUAAACCACAAAGUUUUGUUAACCUAAUGGCUGAACAUAGAACAUAACGACUUAUAUGGGAUUAUCACAUAACCUGGGGGUUCAAUUACAAAUUCAUCAAAGAGAUAAGAAAUCCCCAAUUUCUGCCGUGUGGCUAGGGAUUUUACACCGCCACCGGCCGGAGGGCCUGCCGCGUCGGCCAUUACUGCGCGCCGGAGGGCGCCGUUGGAGCGUGUCGCCUGCCGUGUGCCGUGGCUGAGGGCCUGAUGUCGCGGGAGUGGUCGUGUCUACUAGCAGCCAUGCCGGAGGGCGCCGUGCGUCCCGUCGCCUCCUUGAUGCCGACCAAGAGUGCUCGGGCGCCGCGUGCCUGUGCCGCGUCGGAGGUCCACUCCAGUCUCCACGCCGUGCAGGCUGUCGUCUGGAGCUGGUCUAAUGUGGCUGAGGCGUCCGUGCUGCCGGCCUAGCGCGUGCCGAGGGCAGUCUUUGGAUGCGCUGGGACUCUGCACUUUCAUGGCGAAGGUCAAAGGGAGGGUUUCAAGGGUUUAUAAUUCAUGAAUGCAUGCGAAGAACAAGUCAAUCAUUACCAGAGGACUCCUACAAAGGGUUUAAGACUAGGCACCACGCAGUGGAUGCUUACUCCAAGUAUGUGCACAAGCAUGCAAGCAAUGUCGAAGUAGGCAAGGCUCCUCGUCAUUAUGGGCUAUGUGGGAUGAAGAACAUCAUCUCAUCAUCUAGUUCGUCGUGAUUUGUAGUGUUGUUUUAUAGGUGUGAUCGUAUGUAAGGUGUAGUUGGUAAGCUUACCAUGUACGAGACAACGUAAGAAGACGUCACUGCAUGUAUGCAACCAAACAUCAUGUAAUCAUA